Molecule: ribosomal RNA, 97 nt
Filed under: Merdimmobilis hominis
Lineage: Bacteria; Bacillati; Bacillota; Clostridia; Eubacteriales; Oscillospiraceae
Description: partial 16S ribosomal RNA
Rfam family: Bacterial small subunit ribosomal RNA
Source: RNAcentral
AUUCAAUUAAGAGUUUGAUCCUGGCUCAGGACGAACGCUGGCGGCGCGCCUAACACAUGCAAGUCGAACGGAGUUAAGAAGAAGCUUGCUUCAUCUU